Molecule: ribosomal RNA, 816 nt
Filed under: uncultured soil bacterium
Lineage: Bacteria
Description: SSU rRNA
Rfam family: Bacterial small subunit ribosomal RNA
Source: RNAcentral
GGCGAAAGCGUCGUGCUGGACCACUACUGACGCUGAGGACGAAAGCUAGGGAGCAAACAGGAUUAGAUACCCUGGUAGUCCUAGCCCUAAACGAUCAGGACUUGGGGUGCCACCGUUUCGGGUGUCGUCUCGGAGCUAACGCGUUAAGUCCUGCACAUGGGGAGUACGGUCGCAAGACUGAAACUCAAAGGAAUUGACGGGGGCCCGCACAAGCGGUGGAACAUGUGGUUCAAUUCGACGCUACGCGAGGAACCUUACCUGGGCUCGAAAUGCUUCUGACCAGCUGUAGAAAUACGGCCUUCCCGCAAGGGACAGGAGUAUAGGCGCUGCAUGGCUGUCGUCAGCUCGUGCCGCGAGGUGUUGGGUUAAGUCCCGCAACGAGCGCAACCCCUGCACGUAGUUGCCACUCGCAAGAGGGAACUCUACGUGGACUGCUCCGGAUAACGGAGAGGAAGGUGGGGAUGACGUCAAGUCCGCAUGGCCUUUAUGUCCAGGGCUACACACGUGUUACAAUGCAGGGCACAAACCGUUGCCAACCCGCGAGGGGGAGCUAAUCGGAAAAAACUCUGCUCAGUUCGGAUUGCAGUCUGCAACUCGACUGCAUGAAGCCGGAAUCGCUAGUAAUGGCGUAUCAGAUCGACGCCGUGAAUACGUUCCCGGGCCUUGUACACACCGCCCGUCACAUCACGAAAGUGAGCUGUACUAGAAGUCGCCGUGCCAACCGCAAGGAGGCAAGCGCCCAAGGUAUGACUCAUGAUUGGGGUGAAGUCGUAACAAGGUAACCAAGGCGAUCUGCAGAUCCUUGAUCAGGUGGAU